UACGGAGGGUGCUAGCGUUGUUCGGAAUGACUGGGCGUAAAGGGCGCGUAGGCGGCUCGUGAAGUCGGGUGUGAAAGCCCGGGGCUCAACCCCGGAACGGCAUCCGAUACUGGCGGGCUUGAGACCGGGAGAGGAGGGUGGAAUACCCAGUGUAGAGGUGAAAUUCGUAGAUAUUGGGUGGAACACCGGUGGCGAAGGCGGCAUCCUGGACCAUUACUGACACUGAAUAGCGAAAGCCAGGGGAGCAAACGGG
Molecule: ribosomal RNA, 253 nt
Filed under: uncultured bacterium
Lineage: Bacteria
Description: partial 16S ribosomal RNA
Rfam family: Bacterial small subunit ribosomal RNA
Source: RNAcentral